AUGCAUUACUAUUCUUUUUAUCAAUUAGCUACCUGUUGCCUGCAGUUUAAAUUUUCCUUGGUGUUGGUGACUUGGAACGCAUCCAGUGAGUUUCUCAAGAGUCAUGAGCUCAAGUAUCCUGUAGGUGACUUGCAACUCUGGUUUGGCCUAGCAUUUAGUAAACUAAUUUUUUUUGAGUUAUUCCACCUACAGUCUGAGUCUGAGUCUCUUAGCAAGCCAAGCGAGAUGGUGUCAAGUCAGGCGGGGAACAGUUACUUGCUUUCUGACUGCUACUGCUGCACUGGUGUUGUCUCUGGUCGCUUCUUUGAUCCGGCGACGUAA
This 321-nucleotide ribosomal RNA is filed under the name Triticum aestivum (bread wheat). RNAcentral describes it as "partial small subunit ribosomal RNA". The record is from RNAcentral. Lineage: Eukaryota; Viridiplantae; Streptophyta; Magnoliopsida; Poales; Poaceae.